Molecule: transfer RNA, 72 nt
Filed under: Candidatus Uhrbacteria bacterium
Lineage: Bacteria; Candidatus Uhriibacteriota
Description: tRNA-Arg
Rfam family: tRNA
About the family: Transfer RNA (tRNA) molecules are approximately 80 nucleotides in length. Their secondary structure includes four short double-helical elements and three loops (D, anti-codon, and T loops). Further hydrogen bonds mediate the characteristic L-shaped molecular structure. tRNAs have two regions of fundamental functional importance: the anti-codon, which is responsible for specific mRNA codon recognition, and the 3' end, to which the tRNAs corresponding amino acid is attached (by aminoacyl-tRNA synthetases). tRNAs cope with the degeneracy of the genetic code in two manners: having more than one tRNA (with a specific anti-codon) for a particular amino acid; and 'wobble' base-pairing, i.e. permitting non-standard base-pairing at the 3rd anti-codon position.
Source: RNAcentral
GCCCCCGUAGUUCAAUGGAUAGAACUCCUCACUCCUAACGAGGUAAUGCGUGUUCGAUUCACGCCGAGGGCA